UGGGGGAUAUUGCACAAUGGGGGGAACCCUGAUGCAGCGACGCCGCGUGGGUGAAGGAGCGCUCCGGCGCGUAAAGCCCUAUCGGCAGGGAAGAAAGAGACGGUACCUGACUAAGAAGCCCCGGCUAACUACGUGCCAGCAGCCGCGGUAAUACGUAGGGGGCAAGCGUUAUCCGGAUUCACUGGGUGUAAAGGGAGCGUAGACGGCCGCGCAAGCCAGGAGUGAAAGCCCGGGGCCCAACCCCGGGACUGCUCUUGGAACUGCGCGGCUGGAGUGCGGGAGGGGCAGGCGGAAUUCCUGGUGUAGCGGUGAAAUGCGUAGAUAUCAGGAGGAACACCGGCGGCGAAGGCGGCCUGCUGGACCGCGACUGACGUUGAGGCUCGAAAGCGUGGGGAGCGAACAGG
This 404-nucleotide ribosomal RNA is filed under the name uncultured bacterium. RNAcentral's name for it is "bacterial SSU rRNA". It matches the Rfam family "Bacterial small subunit ribosomal RNA", at positions 355 to 776 of the family's 1533-position model. The record is from RNAcentral.